UGGGGAAUUUUGCACAAUGGGGGAAACCCUGAUGCAGCGACGCCGCGUGAUUUAGAAGGCCUUCGGGUUGUAAAAAUCUUUUCUAUGGGAAGAAAAUGACAGUACCAUAGGAAUAAGGACCGGCUAAUUACGUGCCAGCAGCCGCGGUAAUACGUAAGGUCCGAGCGUUGUCCGGAAUCAUUGGGCGUAAAGGGUACGUAGGCGGGUAAGCAAGUUAGAAGUGAAAUCCUAUAGCUCAACUAUAGUAAGCUUUUAAAACUGCUCAUCUUGAGGUAUGGAAGGGAAAGUGGAAUUCCUAGUGUAGCGGUGAAAUGCGCAGAUAUUAGGAGGAAUACCGGUGGCGAAGGCGACUUUCUGGCCAUAACCUGACGCUGAGGGACGAAAGCGUGGGUAGCAAACAGG
RNAcentral lists this ribosomal RNA (402 nucleotides) under bacterium. RNAcentral describes it as "partial 16S ribosomal RNA". It matches the Rfam family "Bacterial small subunit ribosomal RNA", at positions 355 to 776 of the family's 1533-position model. The record is from RNAcentral.